Molecule: long non-coding RNA, 7395 nt
Filed under: Homo sapiens (human)
Lineage: Eukaryota; Metazoa; Chordata; Mammalia; Primates; Hominidae
Description: HSALNT0144659
Source: RNAcentral
AUGUUUUGUUAUCUGUUUACUUUUUAGGAUUAAAUGACAUAUGUAAUACAAUAUCUAGCCCUAAGCAGGUGGUAGAUUCAGAAUAGUUAGAAACAUGAGUCUAAAUUUGUGUAAAGUUCACUUUGAAAAAUAAAAUUGCCCCAUAUAAGUAAAUAAUGGUCUUCCUUCUUAGGAAAAAAAAAAACCCUGGAGGACAAAUUUUUAUGUGUACUGUGAUACUCUGACUUCAGAAAACCUGAUAGUUGGAUCUAAUGGAUCUAAGUCUUGGAGGAAAGAAAAAAAUUUCCAUCAAUUGACAGGGAGACAUUGCUUGUUUCCUGAAAAUACAUCAGAAACAUAUUGGGAAGUUUUAAAUGCCUCAAGAAAGCAAAAGUAUUUUAAAAAUCCUAUUAGAUAGGAGUCUAGAGAAGCUGGGCAAUGCACAAGCAUUUAUCAUGACUCAGCUAUAUGUGAAGACUGCAUUACAAAUGAGAGAUAAAACAUGUUACACACAAGCCCACAUUUUAUUUCAUUAUCUUGGGCUGAUAAUGCCCUCUUCCCAUCAUAUGGUGAAAGGCUACACCACUUUUUUUUUUUAUCAAUUUCAACUGCUUCUUCCAUGAAACCUUUCAUAAUUAAAGAUGUGAAGCUUCAUCCAUGUAAAAGAAUGGCUACUGUAUUAGGUCUCCUUAAAUCAACAUUUGAAUUUUGUUUUAUAGUUAUUGUGUUAAUCUGUGGAAGAGGAAUCUGAAAAACAGGCUGCUUUCUGAAUUUCUGUCAGCAUUUGGGUAGUUUAUGUAAAUUAUUUUAGGCCUCAGUUUCUAACUUCAACAAAAAUGGAGAUGAUUAUUUUUUCACAAAUUUCUACCACCAGAAUAAUUUGGUAAAGAGAAGAACAAUAUACUCUGAAUGUCACUAAAAUCAUAUGCCCCAUCAGUGAGAAAUUCUCUGGAUGAAUAAGUGAUCUACUAUGCUGUGUUUACAUAAUUCCAUUUCAAGAACAAACUUAUUACAUUUUUGAGUUACCUGUUCAGAACACAUUUGGUAAAUUAUAUAGCAUAAAAGUUAAAUUAUGGUCACUGACAUCAGAUAUCUUGCUUUUAAUUCCUACUCUGUAGCUGUGUGAACUUUGGCAUGUCCUUUUCAUUCUGCACCUCAGUUUACUCAGCCAUAUGUUCAGUGUUUCAACAGCUCCUACCUCAUCAGUUUGGUGUUAAGAUUUGAUAUGGUUUGGCUGUUUCCUCAGCAAGAUCUCAUUUUGAAUCAUAGUUCCCAUAAUCCCCAUGUGUCUUCGGAGGGGCCCAGUGGGAGGUAAUUAAAUCAUGGGGGCUGUUACCCCCAUGCUGCUGUUGUUAUAAGUCUACUAAAAAACGGCCGGGCACGGUGGCUCACGCCUGUAAUCCCAGCACUUUGGGAGGCCAAGGUAGGCAAAUCACGAGGUCAGGAGAUCGAAACUAUCCUGGCUAACACGAUGAAACCCCGUCUCUACUAAAAAUAAAAAAAAUUAGCUGGGCGUGGUGGCGGGCACCUGUAAUCCCCGCUACUCGGGAGGCUGAGGCAGGAGCAUGGCAUGAACCCGGGAGGCAGAGCUUGCAGUGAGCCAAGAUUGCGCCACUGCACUCCAGCCUGGGUGACAGAGCGAGACUCCGUCUCAAAAAAAGUCUACUAAAAAAAAUGUAGAAACAACUUUGGAAAUGGGUAACAGGAAGAGAUUAGAACAGUUUGGAGGGCUCAGAAGAAGUCAGGAAAAUGUCUUCCUGAUGUUGUUGUGAUAGUGAGUGAGUGCUCAUGAGAUCUGAUGGUUUUAUAAGGGAUUUUUUCCUCUUGGUUCUGCACUUCUCCUUCCUGCUGCCACAUGAAGAAGGACAUGCUUGCUUCCCAUUCCACCAUGAUUGUAAGUUUCCUGAGGCCUCCCCAGCCAUGCUGAACUGUAAGUCAAUUAAUCUUCUUUCCUUUACACAUUAGCCAGUCUUAAGUAUGUCUUUAUUAGCAGUGUGAGAAUGCACUAAUACAAUAUUAAAUGAGAAAAAGAAGCAAAGAGAACAUAAUAGUGCCAGGCCAAAUGAAAAUAUUUAUUAUCAUUAUUGUCAUCAGUAUUUUAACCAUUGUUUUAAAAACUAUAUUAAAAAAUACAAAUUAUGCUUUUUUAUAUUUAUGAUCCCUGAAAAUCUGAGAACCCAAACUAGGUACCGUUAAACCAACUUGAUUCUAAAAUUUCAAGUAGCUCUCAGAUUCUGUGACUAUACGUGACUUAAAGUGAAAAAAAAUUACUUAUGUCUUCUUCACAUCCAUACAAUCCCUCAUAUUUUGAUUAGGCAUAGCUGUCUAUAUGACAACCAUGGUUCAGUAAGAAGAUAAUCCAAAAAUGAUAGUCCCAGGAUAAGCCAAAUAAAUACAUAAACUCUAGUGAUUUUAUUUGUUUCUUUUCAUCAUCUCAGAGCCUAGCUGUGUCCAGCAUGUAGUUGGCAUCUAUAAAUAUUGAUUGAUUGAAUGAAGUAGCAUGGGCCUUCGGAGAUCUAGGAAGAAUGACAUAAGUUGCUUAAGGUUUCUCCAAAUGAACUAGUAUUUACAUGACUCCGGCACUUGUUCUAUUGCCUACAACAGGAAGAUUGAGAUGGGCCACUAUGAGCCAUGGAAAAAGAGGACUGAGAAUAAACCACAGAGAUUGCAAUGGAAGCAGAGACAUCUUAAUACUUUCAACACCAGAGGAAGACCAGUGUGUCUUCAAUCUUUUAAAGAAGUUGGAAGAGGUGAGAAACUCCAUCUGAUAAGAAAACAGAAUCUUUAAGAAGUGGACUUGCUGAUGGUCACAGGGCUAGCGAAAGAGCUGCAACUACCUGAUUCCUUCACUGAGACAUGACCGUUUCCUGCUUUCUAAGGUAUAUAUAUUCAAGUGGAGGAAAUAGAACACACAUGCGAGAGAAUCACUUUCUGAGAGAGCUGAAGACUAUUUGAUGGACCACCAUAAAUUUCAUCAAAGGAAACAGAGCAGAGAAUUGACCAAUAACAAACAGCUGGAAAUGAAAGAACUGUGGGCAAGUGACGGAGGUGAGAGAAGAUUGAAGAUACUUUAAAUCAAAUAUUUUAAUAUAUAGACAACCAGGUUUUUCUGUUUGAGCACAGAAUUUGAUUUCACUGUAAGAGUACACGUUUUGAAUCCUGCUUAAACAAGAAAACAAACAAGACCCUCACAUUUUAUUGAGUACUUCCUAUAUGUUAAAAUGUAUACUGGCUUUUUUUCCUUAUGUCAUUUUAUUUAACACUUUCAAGAGUUCUGAAAAGUAGACUCUUUUCUCCGAGUUUACAGAUACAAAUAAUUGAAAUGAUUGUUUUAUGACAGAGGUAAAAUAUAUAGAUAAAAGUAAACAAAGAAAGUCUCAGGGGUAAUCCACAUAGAUUUUUAUUCAGAAUAUUCAUUGUACUGUACUAUGAAGUAUAAAUGUGGUUGUUAUAUGGUAAUAUUUAGAAGUUACUGGGAGAUCCUAUCCUCCUAUUGCACUCCUCCUUAUUGUUAAAGGAUUAGUGACUUUCCUCCAAAUGACAGUGUUUUUAGUGAGGAAAAAGAAUAAUAAGAUUUUAUUACCUUAAAGUUGUUUACUAGAUUAAUUAAAAAAAAUUAAUUGACCUUCCCAAUUAUAUUCAAAGGCCUCCUCUAAAGGAUUAUAUGCUUAUAUAGGCAAUUAUUUCUUAUCUGUUCUCAACAGAAUAGCCAGCAAGAUAGUUUUACUCAUUAGUCAGGUAUAUUAAGGUUCUCCAGAGAAACAGGGCCAAUAGAAAAUCUAUCUAUGCACCUAUCAUCUGUCUAUCUCAAGAUAUUUAUUAUGAGAAAUUGGCCUAAGAAAUAGCAGAACAGAUGGUGUUAGCCUUAGGCUAAGAAUGGGAGAAGACAGAUGUCUGGGAAUAAGCAAUUAGGCAGGGGGAGCAAAUUCUCCCUUCCUCCACUUUUUGUUCUACUUGGGCCCUCGGUUGAUGGGAUGAUGCUCCCCUACAUUGGUGAAGACAGCUUUUUUUUACUCAGUCUACUGAUUCAAAUGUUAACCUCUUCCAGAAACAUCCUCGCAGACACACCCAGAAAUAUAUUUUAUCAGCUCUCCAAGCAUCCUUCAGCCCAGUCAAGUUGACACAGACAUUUAACCAUCCCAGGGGGAUUUGGGAUAUAGGCCCUAUCACGUCUUCCCUGGAACUCAUGGCAGUAGAGGACUGCUGUGGUACAACACGAGACCUGGGUUCGAAUCUGCUCACUCUCCUUCUAGCUGUGCCACCAUGGACAAACCACUUACCCUCUCUGAGCACACUGCUCAUCAUCAGGAAAACAGGAAUAACAGUAACCUGUCUUUCAGAGGCUGCCCUUCACUAUCCAAUUUAAAACUUUAACAGCCCUUAACAUUUGCUGUCUUUCUCCACAUUAUUUUCUCAUUAGUAUUUAUCAUUGUUUUGCAUUUUUAUUUUUGUAAUGAUUUUCUAAAGUAGAAUAUAAGCUAUAGGAUAACAAGGUAGAUGCAGUCUCUACCCUCAGAACCUAUAUUCCUUCAAGGAAGAUGUAUAACUAAACUGGUAAUGACAGGAACGUACACUGGUAUGACAGAAGCUCAUGGUGCUCUGGGAAUCCAGAAAAAGGGCCACUGGUCCAGGCUUGUUUACAGAGCUAAUGAAGAAUCUUAGGAUAUUUACCAUUAUUCACUGUCCCUUAGAUGAUAUAGUCUCUUUAUGCUAAAGGGAUAGUAGAGUCAGAGGUCCCCAGGAUCUGAUCUGAGCUGGUUAUGAUUGACUACUCAUAACCAGUGUCAGAGAAAUGUUCAUACUGCCAGGAUCCAUUCAGAUAUAUGGAAACAGAUGUUGCCUGAGGACAUGAUGUGAGGUUCAGAGAAGUGAAUCAUUUUGCACGUGGCCAACAGACAAUUGUGUGCUAUAAAUUACAGUCAUUGUGACCAGAUUCAAGGGUUUUACUCCAGCAAUUUUGUUCAUCUUUUGUCACAGGGUAACAUGAGAAAAGAAAUCACAAAUAUAGAUGGCAUCAAAAUAUUCUCAAGAAACUAGUGGACUGCACAGCAUAGGUCAGAAUAGAAAGUUCAUCUCAAAGAAGCAUAUUGUGGCUUUUCUGAAAAUGGAUUGCACACACCCCUUCUGCAAAACACGUAUCAGAAUAUACCUUUGACGCUUGUAUUUCUGGGACCUUAUCUCUUUCAGGGCAUUCACUGCAUCUUUGCAGCUCCCCUAUCUCUAUUUUACAUAGCUCAUACCUCCCUUGAUUUUCUAGAAUUCAGGCAGGUUAUUCAUUUCGGAAGAUCACAGAUAUUUUUUAAAAAAGUAUAUACCACGAAUAUUGGAGUUUCUAUAGGAGAGUCAUAAAAUAAAAUAAAUAUGGGGAUAGGAUCCAUAUAUUUAUUUUGAAACAAAUAGCUAGGAAAUUGAGGAAUUAGGAAGUAUUUAUGCCAAUGACUGGCCUUAAGACUAUGCUGCCUUAAGAUAACAGUAAGUCCAUUGCUAGUAGUAAGUGAGAGAAGAAGGUUAAUGCUGUGCAAAUAUUAAAACAUUGUAACACUAAGAUUCUCUGUCUUCAAUAUGUGUUAAUUACUAGAAUAGGCCUUUCGGGGAAAUUAGUGUUUGGCUGGUACCCAACAGCAUGGCAAUUUUUUAGCUACUUAUCUGCUGAGCAGGCGUCCUUCCUGCCAUUUUCUCCCCAUAUAUUCAACCUCUUCCCAACUCUGAAUGGUGUCCAAUAUGGGAUGCUUUGCCUAAAAUGUAGUGACUAAGUCUUGAUAAUUAUGAAAAUGUGUCAAUUAUUAAAAUGCUGUUAAAACAUGCAAAUAGGAUCAUAUGCUAAAGAGAGGGGAAAAGGAAUAAUUACCCCAAUUACAGGUUAUGAGGGAGUUAGAUGAGGAAUUUCUGAACAGAGAACAGUUUCCACCACUUACAAGAAACAAUCUCUCUAUUAUUGCAAUGUCUCCUUACCCUUUACAGGACACUAGGGCUCAUGGAUACCUGUUCCUGAGAAGCGCAAGGGAAACUCACGCCAAUGCUGUUAUAUUGGAAGUCCCUUUGAGAUCCUUAGCACAAAUCUGUAAUUUUGGCAGCUAAUGGAGACAGUUAUUGAGGAAGGCUGAAUGCACUCUGAGUCUGGAAUGUGGAAGUGUGGACAAUUCUGCAGAGCAGGCCUACAGUGGAGGAGCACAGGAAAAUCUUCAACACAGGAAAAAAUUGUGGACCACCUACUUAAGGAGGAAUUCCAAAGACUUGCUGUACAACAUAGUACCUAUAGUCAAUAAUAUAGUAUUGUGUGCUUUAAAAUAUGUUAAGAAAAUAGGUCUCAUGUAAAGUGUUCUUACCAAAAAACAAACAAACAAACAAACAAAAACCACAAGGAAAUUUGUGGAGGUGAGAGACAUUUAGUACCUUGAUUGUGGUGAUGGUGUCAUGAGCUCAUCCAUCUGUCGAAUUUCAUCAAACUGUGCGCAUUAAAUAUGUACAAUUUUGUGUAUCAAGUAUUUUUCAAUACAGCUAAAAAUAUGUACUUUAUUUAUAAAAAACAUACGUUUUUUUUAGUACAGAACAUUGAAUAGUUUUAACAAAGAAGGCAUCUAUGGCUGGACAAGAGGAAGUUCUCAACCCUCCCUAAGCCAUUGAUUAUCCACACACUGUGACCUCUUCUCUCCGGGGUUAUGUUCUCAUUUAUUUAAUAUGAGGGAAGGAAGGUCAUUCUCUCAAACUCGUGUAGAUUUUCACAACAGCUUAGUGAUUUAUGUUAUACAAAUAUAAUCUUUUAACCAUCAAUUAUGAUAUAUAUUUUUCUUAAUGGGCAAUCUGAACAUAAUGAUAGCAUUGUUUUGUAUUAAAGGUUAAAAUAAUAAAUGUAAAAUUCUUAGCAGAGUGCCUGAGGCAAAUAAAUACUUUUUACUAUUAAUACUAUUAUUAUUUAUUCUUAUCAUUAUUUUUAUUUCUAUUAAGCCAGCAAAUAUGGUGAAAUCUUCCAGAUGCCCUUGCUGAAGGACUCCAGAUGUCAAAGAGAAGUGGCCAUUUGUUAGACAGCUGUUCAGUUAACCUGUCUGUCUUGGUUAAAAACACCUGCACAUACUGUCCCCAGUUCAAUCUGAGCCCAUGGCAGUGACAAAGUCUGUGGGAUUUGGGUUGCCUCAUGGGUGGUGAACCAUAUUGUUGGAUAGAUCACUCUCUGAAAAGCCAGCUAUCCUUCAUGUUUGAAACGAUUAAACAUGAAAGCUCAUUACAACAAUAAUGGCUGUUUUGAUAUUUCCAACUAGCUCUAGUGAGGUGGCCACUGGAGAGUCCUCAAUGAGGUGUAAAGCAUUGGCUAUGCAGUGGGUGUGAAGCCCAACUGGCCCAUUUGUUUUCACAAAUCUUACCUUCUGGGGAUAAUGUUAAGUACACGGAUGACUUGGCACAUAGUGGCCUAAUUCAAAG